RNAcentral lists this unclassified non-coding RNA (1118 nucleotides) under Hevea brasiliensis (rubber tree). The record is from RNAcentral. Lineage: Eukaryota; Viridiplantae; Streptophyta; Magnoliopsida; Malpighiales; Euphorbiaceae.
AUUCACACUCAUUACCAAAAUAGUAGAUUGAUAAAUACACAGGCAAAUAAAUAGCCUUUACCUACAUUUCUUCAAUUCACACUAUACGUGAAACUAUAAGAUAAUAUAAGACUUCAAAGUGGGAUCUUGCAAACUUAUAUGGCAGAACUAAAUGUUAUGAUUCAUGGGGAACUUGAGACCUUCACACGGGCAAACGACAAUCCUAGUCACUGAAGACACUCAUAAGAUCACCCGGUUGAAAUUUUUGAAAAAUCGCUGGACCAACUUUAGCAUUUUCCAUGACAUUCAUGUUAGGCUCCUGCUUAACUUUAGUUUCCUCAAGAUAGAUUUUUGCAGUAUUGAAGUUGCACAUUGGCGAAUCAGACUCAUCUACUGCAAAACGGCUGGGAAUGGAGGCACCUUUCAUACGUCCUUGAUCAAGAACCAGGCUUGAGUUAAUACAAUAUGGAACCGGUGAGCCCAAAUGGCUUGGGAUAAGGCCUGGUAGUUGUUUAGAAGAACCAAAUGCUGAGCUCGAGUUAUGAAGCUGCAGAUCAACACUAUUGUCAGCAUUUAUCGAGCAUGACCGAGAGAGAGAACCUCCGCUGGGGAGCCUGUUUAAGCCACAUUCUGGUUUGAGUUCCCUGUCUAACACUUGAACCACACCUGAUGAAUUAUUUGAUUGUGGCGACAGAACUCCAUAAUCAAUAACCGAAGAUUUACUCAGACUGCCGGCGCGGCUGAUGGAAGCAGGACUAUCUCCCACUUGGAAAUGACCUGGUAACUGAGAGGGCAAUACAAGGCAAGAAGGUUGCACAUUAAUUGAACGGUUGACCUCAGGAGGUCCAGACUGUCUAUGUUGCAGUUCAAUCUGCUGCUGCUUUUGCCAUUGCUGCUGUUGCAUCAUUGCCGUUAACAUGUUGCUGUUCGGAGCAAUGGGAUUGCUGCUAGGGACCAUACAUAUAUUUUUUGCUCGCUGCGAUCCAAAUCCGGAAUGAACAUCUUCAGCAGACAAGAUAGCUUGAGAAAGAUGUUUAGAAUUAGAAAUGCUGGCAGGGCAUUUCAACAGAGGCUGACCAUAAGCCAUAACUUGGUCAACAGGUAUGCACUUUGCUUGCUGCAGGGAAACUUGUACGAGA